This 87-nucleotide transfer RNA is filed under the name Dehalococcoidia bacterium. RNAcentral describes it as "tRNA-Ser". It matches the Rfam family "tRNA". From Rfam's summary of the family: Transfer RNA (tRNA) molecules are approximately 80 nucleotides in length. Their secondary structure includes four short double-helical elements and three loops (D, anti-codon, and T loops). The record is from RNAcentral. Lineage: Bacteria; Bacillati; Chloroflexota; Dehalococcoidia.
GGAGGGGUGACCGAGAGGCUUAUGGUGGCGGUCUUGAAAACCGCUCUCCGAUUUAUCGGAGCGUGGGUUCGAAUCCCACCCCCUCCG